AUACGGAAGGCAGCAGUGAGGAAUAUUGCACAAUGGGCGCAAGCCUGAUGCAGCAACGCCGCGUGAGGGACGACGGCCUUCGGGUUAUAAACCUCUUUUAGUAGGGAAGAAGCGAAAGUGACGGUACCUGCAGAAAAAGCACCGGCUAACUACGUGCCAGCAGCCGCGGUAAUACGUAGGGUGCAAGCGUCGUCCGGAAUUAUUGGGCGUAAAGAGCUCGUAGGCGGUUUGUCGCGUCUGCUGUGAAAUCCCGAGGCUCAACCUCGGGUCUGCAGUGGGUACGGGCAAACUAGAGUGUGGUAGGGGAGAUUGGAACUCCUGGUGUAGCGGUGGAAUGCGCAGAUAACAGGAAGAACACCAAUGGCGAAGGCAGAUCUCUGGGCCAUUACUGACGCUGAGGAGCGAAAGCGUGGGGAGCGAACAGGAUUAGAAACCCGUGUAGUCCG
This 446-nucleotide ribosomal RNA is filed under the name uncultured bacterium. Its description in RNAcentral is "bacterial SSU rRNA". It matches the Rfam family "Bacterial small subunit ribosomal RNA", at positions 339 to 797 of the family's 1533-position model. The record is from RNAcentral.